CCCUAUGGGGUGCAGCAGGCGCGAAAACUUCACACUGCAGGAAACUGUGAUGAGGGAACUCCAAGUGCUAUCACUAUGUGGUAGCUUUUCUUGACUAUUAAUCGGUCAUGGAAUAAGGGCUGGGAAAGACCGGUGCCAGCCGCCGCGGUAAUACCGGCAGCUCAAGUGGUCGUCGCUUUUAUUGGGCCUAAAACGUCCGUAGCCUGUUUGGUAAAUCUGUGGGUAAAUCAACCAGCUUAACUGGUUGAAUUCUGCAGAGACUGCCAGACUAGGGACCGGGAGAGGUGUGGGGUACUCUAGGGGUAGGGGUAAAAUCCUGUCAUCCUUAGAGGACCACCAGUUGCGAAGGCGCCACACUGGAACGGAUCCGACGGUCAGGGACGAAGCCUAGGGGCACGAACCGGAUUAGAUACCCGGGUAGUCCUAGGUGUAAACGCUGUGAACUUGGUGUCGGGGAUCCGUAAUGGGUCCUCGGUGCCGGAGUGAAGAUGUUAAGUUCACUGCCUGGGGAGUACGGUCGCAAGGCUGAAACUUAAAGGAAUUGGCGGGGGAGCACUGCAACGGGAGGAGCGUGCGGUUUAAUUGGAUUCAACGCCGGAAAACUCACCAAGGCCGACUGUUAGAUGAAGAUCAGCGUAAUGAGCUUAUCGGAUUUUCAGAGAGGUAGUGCAUGGCCAA
This 678-nucleotide ribosomal RNA is filed under the name uncultured Candidatus Poseidoniales archaeon. RNAcentral describes it as "bacterial SSU rRNA". It matches the Rfam family "Archaeal small subunit ribosomal RNA", at positions 321 to 1001 of the family's 1478-position model. The record is from RNAcentral. Lineage: Archaea; Methanobacteriati; Thermoplasmatota; Candidatus Poseidoniia; Candidatus Poseidoniales.